CGAAAUUGUCGAUGUCCGCUGAUAAUUAAUAUAAGCUGGGAAUAGUGAGAAAAAUAGCUUUACAUUAAGUUUGAAACAUCAUAUUUGAAAAUACUUCAUCGUGCCCGUAUAAAAAUUUCCAAGUAUCAACGAAGCAACGAGAACACUAAUUUGACAGAAAACCGCGAUUCUCUCUUUCGAUCGUUUCGUAAUUAAUCAUUAGACCGAUUAGACCGAUAGUAGCACCGUGAUAGAAAAGAUAAGUUUUAUGAACCAAAUAGGAACGAGGUUUGCGGAAUACAAGUACUUUUCGACAAUUAUAAAAAAUAAAAAAUGAUGUUUUCGGUAACGUCGGCAUGGUUUUUAAUUCCACAUAAUUCAAUUAAACGCUAUUCGACUAAUGACAACAAACUGAUUGUUACUUAAACAUACUUUUAUUUCGCUUAAAAUUAUACAACUUAUUCUCUCGAGAAUAAAAGGUUAAUAAACAAAAUUUCAGAACAUAAUAAAAUACUUGAAAAAUGAAAUUUCUUUAACUUUUAAGCAUCAGUUACGAACUAAGAAUGUAAUGCCCUGCUGUUAUGCAACUAGAUAUAAUUGAAAUUAUCAUAUACUUCAUUCUUUUAUUAUCAUACAAAUAUAUACAAUAUCGUUAUUUUUUUAAGUCAGUUCUUGUGUCUUUAGUAACCGUUAUCGCCUUUUAUAAUUUAAACGGAACGGAUUGCUUACUUAAAGUAUAGACAGUACACAAAGAAUGAUAAUUAUUUACAUAGAACAAUGUUCAACAGGAAUGGUAAUAAAUAAAAAAAUUGCGUGUGAUAUAAGAACUAUACUCAAUGUUGGCUAUUUAAAUCUUACAUAAUUAUUAGUAUCUUCAUAAAGAUUUCACGUAUAAACGAGCGUAUGCUUUUUUUAGUUGUAAUCCUUUCUUUUUACAAAAUAUAUUUACAACCGGCCACGUGUCGUAAUAAUCUGCUAACCGUGAAAUAAAAUUGUUCGACAGAAAAAUAAUGAAUUCUCGUAGCUUUUAUCGUAUUAACUCUGCACGCUUUUCCGUGUAAUAAACUCGUUGAAAAAACGGACGUGGUUCAACAACAUGACGUAUUUCUUAUACAGUCACUUACUAUCUGGGGGAAUUCUUUGAAGUAUCCAACGUACAUCGUACUUCUGAAUCGAAACGAAUCUACUGAUUAGGUACAUUAGCGGUAAUUUUCAUAGCGCAUACAUUCAUGUUCCCCGUAUAUCAGAUUUGAAAAAAAAA
Megachile rotundata (alfalfa leafcutting bee) is the source of this 1240-nucleotide long non-coding RNA. RefSeq lists it as uncharacterized. Lineage: Eukaryota; Metazoa; Arthropoda; Insecta; Hymenoptera; Megachilidae. The record is from RefSeq and is a predicted model, not a curated record.